GGAGGCCACAUGGUGAGGCAUUAGUACCAGUGAUCCCUCCUGCUGAUGUCACCACGCUGAUAAGGAGGGAGCAUGGCUGGUGAAGCCCUUAUCUGUAGAGGCCAUCUGAAAUGGCACUGCACAGGCUGGGAGACAAGCGGCAAGAAAGCAGAAAGGGACCUGGGGUGUUGAUGACAGCAAGGAUGUUAGGGUCCUUGAAGGCAUCAAGAGGAGGGCAACAAAGCAGCCAAUUCUACAUUCCAAGCCUGGAUCGCCUGUACUUUGCUGCCAUUGCUUGUGGCAGGUGUUACCAACAACCAGAGCAAAAGCAGCCAAGUUCACUGCAGCGUGCCAAAAGUGUGCCACAGCCCGGGCCCACAUCUUUGUCCGCAAGGUGCAGCCAAGCACAGCACUCCAGAAGGACAGGAAUCACCAGUGAGCAGUUCCAGGUCAGCCUUCAUCAACGUUUGGGCCUCCUGAUGGCUUCCAAACUGAAAUACUCUUCUUCUGUGCUUCUACCUGGCCACAAAUUGAGCUGCUGCCAUUGUAACAGAUUCUGGCCUUCCUGCACUAGUAGGUACACCUUGAGAACACCGUGGCACUCCUGUACACAAAGCCAAAUCUGGGCUGCACAAAAUGAGUCUGGCUGGUGCUUCUAGGUGAGCUGUUCAGACAUUGACCUGUGUGUAGUUAAACAAAUCAACCCGUCUGCAAGGAUUUGUGCGAGAAAACAAAUGACAGAGCAAACAGAGGACAGAACAGCUGUGACAGCAGUAAGGACUGAGCCUCACCCUUUAAAAGGUUUUCGAGUCUCAGUGAUUCCUAUUACAGAUGGAGUGGAAUUAGGAACCUUGAGUGUGUACUUCUGUCCUCACAGGGGAAUACCGGAGCAAAAAAACAUGCUGUUCUCACAGCUCAAUUACAAUGAGGAAAACACUGACUCUAAUGGCAAGUAAUUGUUGUCUUUGUUCUUUCUGCUCUUUUAUUUUUAAGAGGAUUUUACCUUACACGAAAGUUGCUCAUAGUGAGGGGAACCAGCUAAGGUUCUCAUUGGCAGCUGGGCCUCGUGCUGGGGCUGUGCAGGGGAGCAGUGCAGAGAACGGCAGCUCAGAAAUGAGAGUGAAUUCAUACAUGUCCAGGGGCUCCACACAGCAGCGUCACGGCAUGGCCAAGGCCACAGCUGCAGGCAGUGGUCUGUGCUGGGAACUUCUUCCUGGGCUGCCCAAGGAUUUGCCCCUUUGAAACAAUCCUGAAAGAAGUUUUGUGUACAGCUGCAUUAUAAACAGUUACACAUGGAAGAUGGAUCUGUACUGCAAACAUACGUGGCAGGUGGAUCAAGGACACCCAAAGGACACACACGUGGAGGUGCUGCUGCAUGUAUGCAAGACUUACCAGAAGCAGAAGGUUACAACCGAGGUUAGAUGUACUUCAGCUCUCUAUGAAAAAGGAUCUAAAUAAUCUGGCAGCUUUUCACGUUUGUGAUAUUUUGGAUCAUCACACAGUUUUAAAGAAGCUAUCAGUCCGAAAGGGAAAUGUUCAACCCAACAGGAACUGCUGAAUCAGCUUGAGGUUAUGAUUCCAGCAAGUGGUGGUAGGCUAAAGAACAGACAAAGAUCAGAAGUGAAUUAUAGCUGCAUCACAGGACUAGGCGGGAUGAUGGGCUAAAGCAGCAUUCCUAAAAACAUGACAGCAAAAUCCUUAAACUAAGAGAGCAAAAGAAAGCUUGCAUGAAGUCAUACCACCGUGGCACCUUGGUUCUUCUGUUUCACCAAAUGUGUGUCAUUUGGCUGCACGUUUUACCUCAUUCCUUUGCUCACCUGGUAGAGGGGAAGGAAGAGACUUUCCAAAAUUUACUGCAAGGUGUUGAUGGUUACUUUAAGAUACAAGAGCAGAUUUUUAUGAGCGCGACAUGCAAGCUCUCCUUCAUUGUACUGAGAAUUUGCUCUACCAAUUAGUGUUGUAGUGCUCUUUGUAUCCCCUCUGGAUGCAGGACGUUCUGGGGGGGCACCCUGUGGAAAUGUGAGGGGAGGAAAGCAUGGCAGGAAGCACAUGAGCCUUGUGUAGAAGCAACCGGCGUUGCUUCAAGCAAACAGGUAGCCCUAAGCUUACCACAUCCUGCCAUGAGAAAUGAGCACAGAGAGCGACUACCAAAGAAAAUAAAAACGCAAAACGUUGCCAGGAGGGUGUGGAGGAGAUGUUUCAAAUGCUUCCUGCUGAGAGCGGCAGGCCGGGCCCCUCAGGCCCGGCGUAACAGAACUGCAGAACGGUUUGCGUUGGAAGGGCUCUCAAAGACCACCGAAGGGCACCGUCCACCUGCCG
Molecule: long non-coding RNA, 2298 nt
Organism: Gallus gallus (chicken)
Lineage: Eukaryota; Metazoa; Chordata; Aves; Galliformes; Phasianidae
Source: Ensembl